Molecule: ribosomal RNA, 253 nt
Filed under: uncultured bacterium
Lineage: Bacteria
Description: partial 16S ribosomal RNA
Rfam family: Bacterial small subunit ribosomal RNA
Source: RNAcentral
UACGGAGGGUGCAAGCGUUAAUCGGAAUUACUGGGCGUAAAGCGUGCGCAGGCGGUUUGUUAAGUCUGCUGUGAAAUCCCCGAGCUCAACUUGGGAAUUGCAGUGGAUACUGGCAAGCUGGAGUACGGUAGAGGAAGGUGGAAUUCCCGGUGUAGCAGUGAAAUGCGUAGAUAUCGGGAGGAACACCAGUGGCGAAGGCGACUUCCUGGCCUGUUCUUGACGCUGAGGCGCGAAAGCCAGGGGAGCAAACGGG